AAACCGUGUUGUGGGGCAUGAACUGACGAGAUCCUUGAACUGCUCCCAACAUUAAAAGAAUGUUUCAUCUUCUUUUUAAGUGAAGUUCAAGAUUGAUUUCCUGAUGGU
Magnolia sinica is the source of this 108-nucleotide small nucleolar RNA. NCBI's taxonomy places the organism in Eukaryota, Viridiplantae, Streptophyta, Magnoliopsida, Magnoliales, Magnoliaceae. The record is from RefSeq and is a predicted model, not a curated record.